GGUUCGAUCUGUCAGAUUGAACGCUGGCGGGAUGCUUUACACAUGCAAGUCGAACGGCAGCACGGACGGUCUGGUGGCGAGUGGCGAACGGGUGAGUAAUGUAUCGGAACGUGCCUAAUGGCAGGGGAUAACUACGCGAAAGCGUAGCUAAUACCGCAUACGCCCUUCGGGGAAAGCGGGGACCUUCGGGCCUCGCACUAUUAGAGCGGCCGAUAUCGGAUUAGCUAGUUGGAUGAGGUAACGGCUCACCAAGGCGACGAUCCGUAGCUGGUUUGAGAGGACGACCAGCCACACUGGGACUGAGACACGGCCCAGACUCCUGCAGGAGAGCAGCAGUGGGGGAAUUUUGGACAAUGGGGGAAACCCUGACCCAGCCAUCCCGCGUGUGCGAUGAAGGCCUUCGGGUUGUAAAGCACUUUUGGCAGGAAAGAAACGGCACGGGAUAAUACCCCGUGCAACUGACAAUACCUGCAGAAUAAGCACCGACUAACUGCAUUUAACCUUCGCCAAGCCAACGGCGUAAGUUUGGCGUCAGGAAUUACUGGGCGUAAAGCGUGCAAUUUAGUUCGAAGAAAGAUAAAUCCAGAGCUUAACUGGAACUGCAUUUUUAACUACCAGCUAGAGUGUGUGUGUCAGAGGGAGGUGGAAUUCCGCGUGUAGCAGUGAAAUGCGUAGAUAUGCGGAGGAGGAACACCGAUGGCGAGCAACCUCCUGGGAUAACUUACUGACGCUCUUUUACCGGCGUGGGAGCAAGGCGGGAUUAGAUACGGUAGUCCUUCAAAACGAUGUCAACUGGCUGUUGGGGCCUUCGGGCCUGGUAGCGCAACUAACGCGUGAAGUUGACCGCCUGGGGAAUACGGUCGCAAGAUUAAAACUCAAAGGAAUUGACGGGGACCCACUGGCAGUGGAUGAUGUGGAUUAAUUCGAUGCAACGCGAAAAACCUUACCUACCCUUGACAUGGAAUCGAAGAGAUUUAGGAGUGCUCGCGAAGAACCGGAACACAGGUGCUGCAUGGCUGUCGUCAGCUCGUGUCGUGAAGAGAUGUUGGGUUAAGUCCACCAACAAAAGAGCCGCAACCCUUGUCAGUGGUUGCUACGAAGGGCACUCUAAUGAGACUGCCGGUGACAAACCGGAGGAAGGUGGGGAUGACGUCAAGUCCUCGUAAUGCUAUGGGUAGGGCUUCACACAUCGCGCAAUGGUCGGGACAGAGGGUCGCCAACCCGCGAGGGGGAGCCAAUCCAGAGAGCCCGAUCGUAGUCCGGAUCGCGGUCUGCAACUCGACUGCAUUGAAGUCGGAAUCGCUGGUAAUCGCGGAUCAGCAUGUCGCGGUGAAUACGUUCCCGGGUCUUGUACACACCGCCCGUCACACCAUGGGAGUGGGUUUUACCAGAAGUAGUUAGCCUAACCGUAAGGAGGGCGAUUACCACGGUAGGAUUCAUGACUGGGGUGAAGUCGUAACAAGGUAA
Molecule: ribosomal RNA, 1467 nt
Filed under: uncultured Bordetella sp.
Lineage: Bacteria; Pseudomonadati; Pseudomonadota; Betaproteobacteria; Burkholderiales; Alcaligenaceae
Description: partial 16S-23S ribosomal RNA intergenic spacer
Rfam family: Bacterial small subunit ribosomal RNA
Source: RNAcentral